Long non-coding RNA from Mugil cephalus (flathead mullet), 608 nucleotides. RefSeq lists it as uncharacterized. The record is from RefSeq and is a predicted model, not a curated record. NCBI's taxonomy places the organism in Eukaryota, Metazoa, Chordata, Actinopteri, Mugiliformes, Mugilidae. The transcript is spliced from 4 exons.
GCCAACGUUAGCUCACAGGGGAUCGAGCAGAUUGGACUUCAAUCUGCUAAAUUCCUCUUGACCAGCACGGCGAGCCUGGAGUACGACACAAACCAGUACAUCUUCUUUUCAGCGAGAUCUAACAACAACCCCCCUGUUCAGAAGGUUGAGGCAGAAAUAGAAGUGUAUCCUGAACCAGAUUUCACCAAAGAGAUUGUUGGAGGAUCGCUGGGAGGGUUGGCUUUCCUAGCUUUACUCACAGCCGGCCUGUAUAAGGCUGGAUUUUUCAAGAGUAAAUACAAUCAGAUGAUAAGUGAAAGUGCAGAAGGAGAGGAGGAUCUUGGGGCCGAUGAAGAUGCAGCCUGAGCAAAAUAGAAUAAUGUAAAAUAUCUGUGUGAGCAAUUAUUUUAGACGCAAGCUUUUUGUGGAGACGCUGAAGGCCACCUAUAGCAAUUUGUAACGUCAAAUGUGUUUGAGUAUUUCUAGAAUGUUAUCAGUAUGUUUCCUUGCUGUCAGACAGUCCUCUAUGAUGGAAAACAAAUUGAUGUGUGAGUCUAUGCUUUCUUCAUAGCCCUCAAUGAUAGAAAAAAAAGGUGACACAACAUGGAAUUGUUGUGUCUAACUCAAGC